This 850-nucleotide ribosomal RNA is filed under the name uncultured Bacillota bacterium. RNAcentral's name for it is "bacterial SSU rRNA". It matches the Rfam family "Bacterial small subunit ribosomal RNA", at positions 58 to 887 of the family's 1533-position model. The record is from RNAcentral. Lineage: Bacteria; Bacillati; Bacillota.
CAAGUCGAACGCGAAAGCCCCGCAAGGGGUAAGUAGAGUGGCAAACGGGUGAGUAACGCGUGGGUGACCUGCCUUCGAGCGGGGGAUAACGUUCCGAAAGGGACGCUAAUACCGCAUGACAUCCUGCCUUUUAAGAGGUGGAGAUCAAAGCUGGGGAUCGCAAGACCUAGCACUCGAAGAGGGGCCCGCGUCCGAUUAGCUAGUUGGUGGGGUAACGGCUCACCAAGGCAACGAUCGGUAGCCGGCCUGAGAGGGCGGACGGCCACACUGGGACUGAGACACGGCCCAGACUCCUACGGGAGGCAGCAGUGGGGAAUUGUUCGCAAUGGGCGCAAGCCUGACGACGCAACGCCGCGUGGAGGAUGAAGAUCUUCGGGUCGUAAACUCCUUUCGAUCGAGACGAAUUCCCUUGCGGUGAACAAUCGCGAGGGUUGACGGUACCGAGAGAAGAAGCCCCGGCUAACUCCGUGCCAGCAGCCGCGGUAAUACGGGGGGGGCAAGCGUUGUUCGGAAUUACUGGGCGUAAAGGGCUCGUAGGCGGCCAACUCAGUCGGACGUGAAAUCCCUCGGCUUAACCGGGGAACUGCGUCCGAUACUGGAUGGCUCGAGUGUGGGAGAGGGAUGCGGAAUUCCAGGUGUAGCGGUGAAAUGCGUAGAUAUCUGGAGGAACACCGGUGGCGAAGGCGGCAUCCUGGACUACUACUGACGCUGAGGAGCGAAAGCCAGGGGAGCAAACGGGAUUAGAUACCCCGGUAGUCCUGGCCCUAAACGAUGAAUGCUUGGUGUGACGGGUAUCGAUCCCUGUCGUGCCGAAGCUACGCAUUAAGCAUUCCGCCUGGGGAGUACGGUC